UUCUCUUCUUCUCAUUUUUGGUCAGCAAUUUCCUCUCAUUCUCUUCUUGGUUCUGUUCUCAGCUGUUCAGCCAACUUAGGCGGUGAGCCGAAUCUCUUUUUAGCUUUCAUUCUUCUUCUUAGUUUUCUUUGGCAGCUUCGGAAAUAACUUGAAAAAUUUUCUUUCGGUUUCGAAGUAGUUCACUGUUUAAUCGGCUUUGCUUACUGGAAAUUCACUUUUGUCGGCAUGGUUCUUUUGUAUAAUUCACCUCAGAUGUGUGUUUGGUUUCCCAAUCUCUUGUAUAAUUUCUAAGUUCACUGUUUAAUUGGCUUCGCUGGAAAUUCACUUCUGUCACCGUGGUUCUCUUGUAUAAUUCACUUCAGACGUGUGUUUGGUUUCCCAAUCACAUCAGUGGUCUGUGGUUUUGCAAGAUUAAUGCUUUGAGAAUGGGUCGGAAUAGAGUACAUGAAAGUUUGGAAGAGGCUCAUGCUGAGAAAAAUCGAAGGAGUCGCGACCAGCGUGCUGCUGCUCGGCGUCGGACAAAGAAUGAUGCGCCAUUAGGAGCGUGUACACCAGCUGUCACACCUUUUAAUAUACGUGACCCAAAUGCUGUGAAUCAGCCAAAUAUGGAUGCGACUGAAUCUUCAUUGGGCUCGGACUCAUUGCUGGCAUCUACAGAGAGUACUACAGAGCAGUUUCUAGCUGAAAAUGAACGAGAUGUAUCUAGGUCUAUUGGUAAUGGUGCUAACGAGGUUCUAGCAACUAAUUUAGAUACUGGUGAACCAUCGCUGCAUAGGCAACGUCGGUCUAGAAAACGCUUUGUGACUGAUCCAUUAACCAGAAUAGCUACAGAGCCUACAGUAUUGCCGAGUAAUGCAGAGCAGUUUCCAACUAUAUGUUUGUGCUUAUUUUGAGCAUGUCUCAUGGAAUAUAAAUUGUUGCUUAAACCCCUUGCAAUAAAUGUGAGAUUAUUUAUGUUAAUAGUGGUUUCGUCUACAAGCAAUAGUUCUGGUGUUUUGUUCAUUAUCUUAUUAGGGAGGAUUUCCUCAACUUCAGCUUCAAGCUCAUUCUUCCCCAUUUUGCGUUACAAAAUGAAGAUUAUAUUUGUUUGGUGUCACGUAUAAUUAUCAUUUUCCAUCCUUUGCAAAUUUGUAGUUUGAGGCAGCUUGGGCUCUCACAAACAUUGCUUCUGGGGCAUCUAAGCACACUAAGGCUGUAUGGGCUCUGUGAAAUGUGGUUGGUGAUUUCCCAAAAUGCCGUGAUCUUGUUCUUGGUCAUGGAGCUCUAGGUCUUUUGCUGGCUCAGCUAAAUGAGCAUGCAACUAUCAUUGUUGCGAAAUGCCACUUGGACACUAUCUAAUUUCUGCAGAGGCAAGUUUCAGCCUUAUUUUGACAAGAGAGAAUGCAAAAGUUACGUUGGAUUACAUACUCAACGUCACCAAAGGCUCGGAUGGAUUGAGAAAAAUUCUCAAGAGUCAUUAGCGUUUAUUUUGAACCUAAAUGAAUUGGUUGGCUAUAUUAUUAUAAUUGCUGUGUACUUUUGCUUCAGUUUUGUGUAC
Non-coding RNA from Coffea arabica (coffee), 1537 nucleotides. NCBI's taxonomy places the organism in Eukaryota, Viridiplantae, Streptophyta, Magnoliopsida, Gentianales, Rubiaceae. The record is from RefSeq and is a predicted model, not a curated record.